AUUGAACGCUGGCGGCAUGCCUUACACAUGCAAGUCGAACGGUAACAGGUUAAGCUGACGAGUGGCGAACGGGUGAGUAAUGUAUCGGAACGUGCCCAGUCGUGGGGGAUAACUGCUCGAAAGAGCAGCUAAUACCGCAUACGACCUGAGGGUGAAAGCGGGGGAUCGCAAGGCCUCGCGAGAUUGGAGCGGCCGCUAUCAGAUUAGGUAGUUGGUGAGGUAAAGGCUCACCAAGCCGACGAUCUGUAGCUGGUCUGAGAGGACGACCAGCCACACUGGGACUGAGACACGGCCCAGACUCCUACGGGAGGCAGCAGUGGGGAAUUUUGGACAAUGGGCGCAAGCCUGAUCCAGCCAUGCCGCGUGCGGGAAGAAGGCCUUCGGGUUGUAAACCGCUUUUGUCAGGGAAGAAAAGGUUCUGGCUAAUACCUGGGACUCAUGACGGUACCUGAAGAAUAAGCACCGGCUAACUACGUG
This 477-nucleotide ribosomal RNA is filed under the name uncultured bacterium. RNAcentral describes it as "partial 16S ribosomal RNA". It matches the Rfam family "Bacterial small subunit ribosomal RNA", at positions 30 to 507 of the family's 1533-position model. The record is from RNAcentral.